This is a long non-coding RNA of Onychomys torridus (southern grasshopper mouse), 286 nucleotides long. RefSeq lists it as uncharacterized. Lineage: Eukaryota; Metazoa; Chordata; Mammalia; Rodentia; Cricetidae. The record is from RefSeq and is a predicted model, not a curated record. The transcript has 3 exons.
GAAAGAGCGGCAGCCCUUCGGUGAAGCUCACUUCAUUCCUCACCCAUCAUCUCUCCGGCAAAGUAGUGUAGAGAACAGAAUGAGCUACUAUAUGGAUUCCACCAUGGGCAACCCCACUGCAUACUCUGCACCAUGUCCUGCAGUGCUGAGGCAGGGGCCCAUUAACACUUUUGAAGAACCUCGAAUGACCUGUGGAUUCCAGUCCAGCUAUCAUCAGCAAAGACCUCUUUACCUACUCUGGGAUGAAGCUGCUACUCAGGAAGUUCCGACUGGCCUUGAACACUGU